UCUUGUGUAAUAUCAAUUUCUUGUACUUCACUAAACGAUAGAGAAUAACACUUCAUUUAUCUGGUGUUGUAGACAAAACACCAACUGCUUUUGCUCACCAGUCUGGCAUUCUGCGGUUCAAUGCAACUUGUUAAAUGGGAGAAUUGUUGAGAUAAUAUUUGUUACAAAAUAUAAUAAAAAAUUUGCAGGAAUUGAAAUUAUAGAGACCUGUGAACAUCACAUUGGAAAGAGCCAGUUUAGGUCAUACCUAGAUUGCGAACUAUGGUAUCUUCAGGCUAUCAGAAGCUCUUGUUAGGCCAUGUCUUUUAGAAGUGAUACCGAUUCUACCUGUCCUCGGAUGUUCCAUUUUACGACUAUUCAUUAUCUUUGUCUUGCUUGUAGUGUUUUUCUCAUAACUGUUUUU
Molecule: long non-coding RNA, 403 nt
Filed under: Ricinus communis (castor bean)
Lineage: Eukaryota; Viridiplantae; Streptophyta; Magnoliopsida; Malpighiales; Euphorbiaceae
Description: long non-coding RNA (RCOM_LNC000935)
Source: RNAcentral